This 492-nucleotide ribosomal RNA is filed under the name uncultured bacterium. RNAcentral's name for it is "partial 16S ribosomal RNA". It matches the Rfam family "Bacterial small subunit ribosomal RNA", at positions 29 to 507 of the family's 1533-position model. The record is from RNAcentral.
AGUGAACGCUGGCGGUAGGCCUAACACAUGCAAGUCGAACGGCCGCACAGUAAGAUCUUGCUCUUACGGGUGGCGAGUGGCGGACGGGUGAGGAAUACAUCGGAAUCUACUUUUUCGUGGGGGAUAACGGAGGGAAACUUACGCUAAUACCGCAUACGACCUACGGGUGAAAGCAGGGGAUCUUCGGACCUUGCGCGAUUGAAUGAGCCGAUGUCGGAUUAGCUAGUUGGCGGGGUAAAGGCCCACCAAGGCGACGAUCCGUAGCUGGCCUGAGAGGAUGAUCAGCCACACUGGAACUGAGACACGGUCCAGACUCCUACGGGAGGCAGCAGUGGGGAAUAUUGGACAAUGGGCGAAAGCCUGACCCAGCCAUGCCGCGUGGGUGAAGAAGGCCUUCGGGUUGUAAAGCCCUUUUGUUGGGAAAGAAAAGCAGCAGGUUAAUACCCCGCUGUUCUGACGGUACCCAAAGAAUAAGCACCGGCUAACUUCGUG